GAUGAACGCUGGCGGCGUGCUUAACACAUGCAAGUCGAACGGAAAGGCUCCUGCGUUCUGGGGUGCUCGAGUGGCGAACGGGUGAGUAACACGGGGGGGAGCUUCCCUGCACUUCGGGAUAAGUCUGGGAAACUGGGUCUAAUACCGGAUAGGACGAUGUAUUGGAUGCCAUUGUGGAAAGGUUUGCGGUGUGGGGUAAGCUCGCGGCCUAUCAGCUUGUUGGUGGGGUAAUGGCGUACCACGGCGUGGCCGGGUAGCCGGCCUGAGAGGGUGUACGGCCACAUUGGGAUUGAGCUGCGGCCCAGACUCCUACGGGAGGCAGCAGUGGGGAAUAUUGCACAAUGGGCGCAAGCCUGAUGCAGCGACGCCGCGUGGGGGAUGACGGCCUUCGGGUUGUAAACUCCUUUCGUCAGGGACGAAGCGAAAGUGACGGUACCUGGCUAAGAAGCACCGGCUAACUACGUG
RNAcentral lists this ribosomal RNA (465 nucleotides) under uncultured bacterium. RNAcentral describes it as "partial 16S ribosomal RNA". It matches the Rfam family "Bacterial small subunit ribosomal RNA", at positions 28 to 507 of the family's 1533-position model. The record is from RNAcentral.